RNAcentral lists this ribosomal RNA (211 nucleotides) under uncultured bacterium. RNAcentral's name for it is "partial 16S ribosomal RNA". It matches the Rfam family "Bacterial small subunit ribosomal RNA", at positions 1290 to 1500 of the family's 1533-position model. The record is from RNAcentral.
AGUUCGGACUGCAGUCUGCAACUCGACUGCACGAAGCUGGAAUCGCUAGUAAUCGCGAAUCAGAAUGUCGCGGUGAAUACGUUCCCGGGUCUUGUACACACCGCCCGUCACACCAUGGGAGUCGGUAACGCCCGAAGUCAGUGACCCAACCGCAAGGAGGGANCUGCCGAAGGCGGGACUGGUAACUGGGGUGAAGUCGUAACAAGGUAAC